RNAcentral lists this small RNA (68 nucleotides) under Gloeocapsa sp. PCC 73106. RNAcentral describes it as "Cyano-1 RNA". It matches the Rfam family "Cyano-1 RNA". The record is from Rfam by way of RNAcentral. Lineage: Bacteria; Bacillati; Cyanobacteriota; Cyanophyceae; Chroococcidiopsidales; Chroococcidiopsidaceae.
AGGUGUGUAAGGAGUGAAGGAAAGCUCUCGGGGUCGAAACAUGGCAAGACUCCCGGGGGCUUUUUCUU